GGCGGACGGGUGAGUAAUACGUGGGAAUCUGCCUAUAGGUGGGGGAUAGCCCGGAGAAAUCCGGAUUAAUACCGCAUAAUACCUGAGGGUUAAAACGGAGGAUCGCAAGACUUCGUGCCUAUAGAUGAGCCCNNNNCAGAUUAGCUAGUUGGUAGGGUAAAGGCCUACCAAGGCGACGAUCUGUAGCUGGCCUGAGAGGGUGGCCAGCCACACUGGAACUGAGACACGGUCCAGACUCCUACGGGAGGCAGCAGUGGGGAAUAUUGGACAAUGGGCGCAAGCCUGAUCCAGCCAUGCCGCGUGUGUGAAGAAGGCCUUCGGGUUGUAAAGCACUUUAAGUUGGGAGGAAGGUUGCUUGGCUAAUAUCCAAGUGAAUUGACGUUACCAACAGAAUAAGCACCGGCUAAUUCCGUGCCAGCAGCCGCGGUAAUACGGAAGGUGCGAGCGUUAAUCGGAAUUACUGGGCGUAAAGCGCACGUAGGCGGUUACUUAAGUCGGGUGUGAAAGCCCUGGGCUUAACCUGGGA
Molecule: ribosomal RNA, 526 nt
Filed under: uncultured bacterium
Lineage: Bacteria
Description: bacterial SSU rRNA
Rfam family: Bacterial small subunit ribosomal RNA
Source: RNAcentral